AUUGACGUGAGUGGUGGACGGGUGAGUAACACGUGGGUAACCUGCCCUUAAGCGGGGGAUAACAUUUGGAAACAGAUGCUAAUACCGUAUAAAAGUUGAGAUCACAUGGUCUUAAUUUGAAAGACGGCCUUUGGCUGUCACUUAAGGAUGGACCCGCGGCGUAUUAGCUAGUUGGGGAGAUAACAGCCCACCAAGGCGACGAUACGUACCCGACCUGACAGGGCAAUCUGGCACAUUGGGACUGAUACAUUGCCCAAACUCCUACGGGAGGCAGCAGUAGGGAAUCUUCCACAAUGGACGAAAGUCUGAUGGAGCAACGCCGCGUGAGUGAAGAAGGUUUUCGGAUCGUAAAACUCUGUUGUUGGAGAAGAACAGGGACUAGAGUAACUGUUAGUCCUUUGACGGUAUCCAACCAGAAAGCCACGGCUAACUACGUGCCAGCAGCCGCGGUAAUACGUAGGUGGCAAGCGUUGUCCGGAUUUAUUGGGCGUAAAGCGAGCGCAGGCGGUUUCUUAAGUCUGAUGUGAAAGCCUUCGGCUUAACCGAAGAAGUGCAUCAGAUACUGGGAAACUUGAGUGCAGAAGAGGAAAGUGGAACUCCAUGUGUAGCGGUGAAAUGCGUAGAUAUAUGGAAGAACACCAGUGGCGAAGGCGGCUUUCUGGUCUGUAACUGACGCUGAGGCUCGAAAGUAUGGGGAGCGAACAGGAUUAGAUACCCUGGUAGUCCAUACCGUAAACGAUGAAUGCUAAGUGUUGGAGGGUUUCCGCCCUUCAGUGCUGCAGCUAACGCAUUAAGCAUUCCGCCUGGGGAGUACGACCGCAAGGUUGAAACUCAAAGGAAUUGACGGGGGCCCGCACAAGCGGUGGAGCAUGUGGUUUAAUUCGAAGCUACGCGAAGAACCUUACCAGGUCUUGACAUCUAGCGCCAAUCCUAGAGAUAGGACGUUCCCUUCGGGGACGCUAAGACAGGUGGUGCAUGGUUGUCGUCAGCUCGUGUCGUGAGAUGUUGGGUUAAGUCCCGCAACGAGCGCAACCCUUAUGAUUAGUUGCCAGCAUUUAGUUGGGCACUCAAAGCAGACUGCCGGUGACAAACCGGAGGAAGG
RNAcentral lists this ribosomal RNA (1102 nucleotides) under uncultured bacterium. Its description in RNAcentral is "bacterial SSU rRNA". It matches the Rfam family "Bacterial small subunit ribosomal RNA", at positions 85 to 1173 of the family's 1533-position model. The record is from RNAcentral.